GGGCCGCACCUCGCUCGAGCGACGCCAUCUGGGUUGGUGCCGCGCGGCGGCUCCGGAGCAGAAGGGCGCGAGCCCACCCGCCGUGCCCCUUCCCCCCGGCCCGACAUGGGGCUCGCCUGCCGCCUCCCCGCGCUCGGGCUGCUGCUGCGCGCCCUGCUGGUAUGCACCCAGUCUCAAGAGCAAGAGUCUGUGUUUGCCAUUGUGGGAGAAGAUUUUACUUUUUCACCAAAAGUUAAUGGAACUAUAAGAGAAAUUACCUGGAUGAAAAGAAAAAAUAAAGUGGCUGAAUGGGAGCGUGAUGAGUUACCUAUAUAUUUUAGUUUAAGAGAGAGAGGAGAGCUUGAGACGUCUUCUGGCAAUUUUACCAUCAAAAAGUUAAACACUGAUGAUGCUGUAGAGUAUGAGGCACAAGUUCUGCCUAUUCUUGAUGACCAGCUCCAAUAUACAAAAUUUGUACUUGAAGUAUUGGCUCCUCCUCCACCAUCAGUAUUAAAUUGCAGCGUUACUGAUGGUCAGAUUAGAAUAUCAUGUGCAAUACAGUUCUCAAAGGAUGUGCGCUACAGUUGGUAUCGGAAUGACAGAAAAAUUGACGGUAAUAGUUCUGUUCUCGAACUUGAAGAAAAUGCAGACCCUUCAGGGGAAGUUUUGUGCGUCAGAGAAGUCUCCAAAACAAAAAUCAACGACUCAAUCUCUCUGAGUGCAUGCUUCCGAAAGAGUGAUGAAAGUAUUUCAAGAGGUAGAGAUGGUUUAAUAGCAGUUUUUGUUAUUUUUCCUCUCAUUCUGUUCAUGGGCGCACUCUUCUUUCUGUGGAAAAGAGGUUUGCUUUCCAGCAUUCCCUGUCGGAGAGAAAAGCACUCAGCUGUAUAUAAGCCUGAAGAACAACACCUUACAGAUGAUUACAGAUUCCCGGAAGAAAGUGGCCAAAAAGAAGAUCCUGAAUGUGAAAAUUCACGUGAUUUUGAACUUGCAGUUCAUCAAUCAGAUGAAGCAACGAAGUUGGUGCAGAUAGAAGGUGUGCCAGUGAUCCUCCACUGCGUUAAUGAAAGCCAAACUGAGAAAGAGGAAAAGAAGAACUCAGAAGAGACUGUAUCAACGAGCCAGGCUGAUCUUUCCUCCAAUCCAGAGAAUCCAGACUAUGAAAAUAUCUCCAAGGAGAAUCAGAAGCCAGAGGAAAAGAAGAACUCAGAAGAGACUGUAUCAACGAGCCAGGCUGAUCUUUCCUCCAAUCCAGAGAAUCCAGACAGUGAAAAUAUCUCAGACAGGAAUCUGGAGAUAGAGGAAAAGAAGAACUCAGAAGAGACUGUAUCAACGAGCCAGGCUGAUCUUUCCUCCAAUCCAGAGAAUCCAGAGGAGGAGAAGAACUCAAGACUAAAUCAAUGAACCUGCCUGACCUUCUCUUCAAUCAAGAGAAAACAGCGACUGUCCAGUUUGGCCGAUGUACAUAGCAGAGGGGCAUUGCUGGCAUAUGAUGGCGUAUAUUACAUUGGUGGACGUGCAGAUCUUAAACUGCAAAGUGAGGCACACUAACAACACAAUGGGCUAAACUUCAUUGCGGCAUGACAAAAGACACUGAGAGAAGAACUAGCUUGUGGAUGUUGUCCAUGAGUGCUGGAGUUCUCCCUAGCAGAUGUGUUUUGAAGAUUCAUUCAUUUGUUCUCAAGCGUCAUAGACUAUCAGAGUUGGAAGGGACCUCAGAAGAUCAUCUAAGUCCAACGCCCUGCUCAAAGGGGGACCAAUCCCCAAAUUGCCCCCUUAAGGAUUGAACUCACAACCCUGGGUUUCGCAGGCUAGUGCUCAAACCACUGAGCUAUCGCUUCCACUAAUGCCCACUUUUAUCUUUCCAGGAUAUAUGUCCUGUUUCUGCAUUGUCAGUUAUUUUGAAAAUGGAUGGAGUGAGUCAAGGAGCAAAUCCCUUUGCAUCCGUGCUCCUUUUUGUGCUUUUGUUUUACAAGCAAGCGAACGUGAACCUUAGGCGCCAGGUUUAUGUAUGCCAAUGUUUCCAGACAUUAACUAACACAAGAGAAUGGGGACAAAUAAAAAACUAAUGGAUGUGAUAUAAAACUCUAACUGUAACAUUAUUUAAAUUCAGAAGAGAAGAGUGUUCAGAGGGCGACUCUCAUUUUCUCCACCUCCCCAUCUGAAAGAAAACGCUACAACGACACUGUCCAUGCAGAGAUGAGCAACAGCUUUCCUGGCUCUUGUUUCUAUCUGUCCUUCCAGAAAGCACCACCAUCACCACCACCAAAUUCUGAUUCUUUUUGAAUAGCAAAAGGCAGACAAACCUUCUUGCUCAAUGGAGAUGGUAUCAACUCUGCUAUUUACUCUAGCCAGCGGUUCUCAAUCUGUUGGUUGGGCUCAAAAGUGGGUCACGACCCUGUUUUAAUGGGGUCACCAGGGCUGGUGUUAGACUUGAAGUAUGCGCCCCUCCGCCCAGGAGGGGGGCUGAAGCCAAAGCCCGAGGGCUUCAGCCUUGGGCAGCAGGGCUCAGGUUAUGGUGCCCCCCCACCCCCACCCAAGGGCAGGGCUCAGGCUUUGGUCCGUCUUCCUGGAGUCCUGUAGUAAUUUUUGUUGUCAGAAGGGGUCGCGGUGCAAUGAAGUUUGAGAAUCCCUGCUAGCCAAACAAUACUCCUGGGUAAGUGUCAAGAGCAAUUGCAUCUGUGGCACCCACAACUGUGUCAAAACAGCUGAUCUAAAAGCAUCAGCACAGACACUUCAUUCACUAUCAGAAGGAGAUUAUCAACCAAUGAAACCAGUAGAGUCUCUGUGCCAAACCCAGGUCUCAAACUCGUGUGACCAGAGUCAAGGCAAUUGGAAGACUCCAGAUACUGAAAGUCAUUUUUCCCUCUGUGAUCUUCUUCCCAAAGAAGGAAACCGUUAACAGUCACUUUCUCCAGAGAGAGUGGCACCCACUUGCAUAGGUCCCUCCAACUGGCUGUUGUGCAAAUAGUAAAGAAACAGCAACUGACCAGGAGAAAGGCAUUCCAUUUUUAAUAUUGUUUCAUUGUAUUACUGUAAAAUGUUUUUAGUAACACUGAUAAAGAAUUUUUAGAAAUGGGGCCAGAUUUAUUGGUAUGUUCCAGCUAUUUUGCAUUAUAGCCCAUGAGCUUUAACUUGACGACAAACCAAAUUAGUGUCCAAAUUGAUAUGAUAUUGACGUUACAAGAGAAAGUCAAACUCAUAGUGCAGAUCUAGGUUAUCCUUUCCUAUGAGCAAGCCUUUCAACUGCUAACGUUCUAGGAAAAGUGCACAUCUUACUUUUCAUGCCAUUAGGGUGCCCAGGUUUAAUAAUCAGAUUGUUUGAUGCACUCCUUUGUGAUUAUAGAGCUGGUUACUUAAUGCUCACCCAUUUUUUACAACACUUGAAAAUCUAGAGAUGCUAUACAGGAAUUAGAUAUUAUCCCCUUUUUACAGAUGGAAAAAGAAAGGCAAAAAAGUUUAAAACUCUCUGUGUUUUCAAAAGACCCCGCAAAUUUAGGGUAUCCUUUUGAGAUAUUUUUCAGAUGUGCUGAGUACCCACAGCUCUCACUUCAGCAUCUCUGCAAGUCAGGGCUUUGACGUAUGAAGUUAGCAACCCAAAAAAACUACAUACUUUAGGGCAAUGGUUCUCAAAUAUUUGCGUGGCUCCACUAAUUAGGUGUCUGGCCCUUCAUUCUCCCACGUCUGGCAGCCCAGGCCCACACCUUAGAGGGAACUAUCCACUGACCACCUGAAUGGAGCCCGCGGACCAGAGUUUGAGAAGCUCUGCUUUAGGGGAUUCUUGCACAAAUGACUUACCACAGGUCGCACAGCAGAUUGGUGGCAGAGAUGGAAACAGAGUCUAAAUUUGCAAGUCAAAAAUUGAGAAUGAAAAAUUGUCAAAAAUAUGCAGUGGAAAAUGGAGUGGCAAAUUAUGAAUGAAAAAUUGCACUGUAGGGGAGAGUAGGCCAUUUGGAUAUUUUAUGGCUGGACUUUCUUACUCCAGGGAAGGCCUUUGCCAGUUAGGUAGAAAGUGUCCUUUAAAAACUGAGCAGCAUCCCGAGUUUGGCUGCAUAGGAAUGCAUUCUGGCAGGUUCUCACAGCAACAGAGCCUGCAUUUGACCUAUUAACAUGGAGGCAUGGUGCUUUGUCUUUGCAAAUAUUUCAUACUACGUACUAUUUCAAGUCAAGUGAAUGCUCACAUCCCAGCUGAGGGCUUGUUGAAAUGCAGUGGUUUUGAUUUACAUGUGUACCAUACAGAUAUGCCUGUACAGCAGUGGAUGAGUUUUAUGUGUGUACCAUACAGACAUUGCUUGCUUUUGGAAAGCAGUUGAGAUCUAUAACAAAUCAUGUCAAACCAAUCUGAUAGCUUUCUUUGAUAGGAUAAUGAGCCUUGUGGAUAAGGGAGAAGUGGUGGAUGUGGUAUACCUAGACUUUAGUAAGGCAUUUGAUACAGUCUCGCAUGAUAUCCUUAUUGAUAAACUAGGCAAAUACAAUUUAGAUGGGGCUACUAUAAGGUGGGUGCAUAAUUGGCUGGAUAACCGUACUCAGAGAGUAGUUAUUAAUGGCUCCCAAUCCUGCUGGAAAGGUAUAACAAGUGGGGUUCCCCAUGGGUCUGUUUUGGGACUGGCUCUGUUCAAUAUCUUCAUCAACGACUUAGAUGUUGGCAUAGAAAGUACGCUUGUUAAGUUUGCGGACGAUACCAAACUGGGAGGGAUUGCAACUGCUUUGGAAGACAGGGUCAAAAUUCAAAAUGAUCUGGACAAAUUGGAGAAAUGGUCUGAGGUAAACUGGAUGAAGUUCAAUAAAGACAAAUGCAAAGUGCUCCACUUAGGAAGGAACAAUCAGUUUCACACAUACAGAAUGGGAAGAGACUGUCUAGGAAGGAGUAUGGCAGAAAGAGAUCUAGGGGUCAUAGUGGACCGCAAGCUAAAUAUGAGUCAACAGUGUGAUACUGUUGCAAAAAAAGCAAACGUGAUUCUGGGACGCAUUAACAGGUGUGUUGUAAACAAGACACGAGAAGUCAUUCUUCUGCUCUACUCUGCGCUGGUUAGGCCUCAACUGGAGUAUUAUGUCCAGUUCUGGGCACCACAUUUAAAGAAAGAUGUGGAGAAAUUGGAGAGGGUCCAGAGAAGAGCAACAAAAAUGAUUAAAGGUCUUGAGAACGUGACCUAUGAAGGUAGGCUGAAAUAAUUGAGUUUAUUUAGUUUGAAAGAGAGAAGACUGAGAGGGGACAUGAUAGCAGUUUUCAGGUAUCUAAAAGGGUGUCAUCAGGAGGAGGGAGAAAACUUGUUCACCUUAGCCUCUAAUGAUAGAACAAGAAGCAAUGGGCUUAAACUGCAGCAAGGGAGAUUUAGGUUGGACAUUAGGAAAAAGUUCCUAACUGUCAGGGUAGUUAAACACUGGAAUAAAUUGCCUAGGGAGGUUGUGGAAUCUCCAUCUCUGGAGAUAUUUAAGAGUAGGUUAGAUAAAUGUCUAUCAGGGAUGGUCUAGACAGUAUUUGGUCCUGCCAUGAGGGCAGGGGACUGGACUCGAUGACCUCUUAAGGUCCCUUCCAGUCCUAGAGUCUAUGAAUCUGUUUUUUAGGUAUUUGGAAAUCAGACACACUCUAUCAGUUGAUAGUUUGACAGACACUUUUCACAACAGGCACAAUUUUGGGCAAGUAAUAAAACACAUCACCUCCCAAGCUUUAACUGUACAGCUGUCUGCAAAGGAACAUCUUCGCUUUUCCUGGAGAAAACUCUGGAAACCAAUCAAAGAUGCAUGAAUUUUCAGUCCACCAGUCUCAACACCUUCAGGAUUUGAACUCCAGACAUCUGAGCCUGUGGGUGAGAACCAUGCUACCUGGCCUCCAGCCACUUGCAGGUUCUGUCUACCUGAGAUGAAGGCUUUUGCCAGUUUCAAACAAACUUUGCCAGCAUCCAAAGUUUCACAAACUCACACAAGCUAUCCAGUUUUCUGCUACGGUCUUGCACCCCAAUGCCUGACCCAGACGCAAAUACCACAAUGAUGUCCCUUUUUCAUUUGCAAGGAAAAGCAUUGGAUGAUAUAUUGUGUCACAGAGAUGGUAGUCCCAUGAGUACUCUCAUCCCAGCGGAGGGCUUGCUGAAAUGCAGUGAAUAUCGUUUAUAUGUCUACUGCACAGACACCCCUCUAGAGCAGUGGAUGAGUUUUACACGUCUACCACAGAGAGGAGGCAUCACCAGCUCUCCCACCUUCAGCUGAAUCCCAAACCUCAGCUGAGAUGAAGCAGGCUCAGACGUUAAUAACAACACCAGCCCAUCUCAGCUAACAACUUCUCUUUUCCCCAGAAGGACAGUUAUUACCAUUUUUGAUACCAUCUAAGAGACUUGGGGGGUUUUCCUUCUAAAAUCCCUUUCCAGCUGAAGGGAAAGGGAGCAAAGGACAUUGAAAUGUAAUUUUAAAUAAGGCUUUUGUUUUAACAAAUGCUUUGUUGCUUUUUUCCUUCUUUUUAUCUUGAAUAAAAGGCUAGAAGAAUUGUUAA
Gopherus flavomarginatus (Mexican gopher tortoise) is the source of this 6460-nucleotide RNA transcript. It is a transcript of the gene named CD58 molecule, with no coding region annotated. The transcript has 16 exons. Lineage: Eukaryota; Metazoa; Chordata; Testudines; Testudinidae. The record is from RefSeq and is a predicted model, not a curated record.